Molecule: non-coding RNA, 679 nt
Organism: Maylandia zebra (zebra mbuna)
Lineage: Eukaryota; Metazoa; Chordata; Actinopteri; Cichliformes; Cichlidae
Source: RefSeq, a predicted model, not a curated record
AGGAAAUCGUAACCUAGGACAAGCUGAUGGCAUAAAAUUACGACUUUGGGGCCUGGAUGCCCAAUAGUCCUGUCACCUUGCAGCUUCCCCCACCAACUAAAAAGGGGAAAGCAAGUGAAAAAAGCAUGAUAGAUACAUUCCCCAAUAUUCAAACAACAGUUCAUGGCAUGGCCGUCAUGUGGCUACUCAGCAAGCAGUCCUCUGACUCUAUCUUUCUUGGCCAGUACCCAGAGGAGCAUUUCACUGAGGAGGUUCCCUGCCAAAAAAUAAAGGAUUUCCAAGUAGAGCUCAAAAGGCUGAGUGCAGAGAUCAAAGCCAGAAACUCAGUGUUGGACCUGCCAUACACAUACUUGGAUCCUGACGUGACUGAAAACAGUGUGUCCAUUUGAAUAUUAGAAGGCAGCUUCUCUUCCUUUAGUUCAGUAACAAAAACAGAAAAGAAAGUGAAGUUUGAGCUCUGCCUGAAACUCAUUCUAUUGAUUAACUUUAGUUUACCAGCAAUUUCUAAAAUAUUCUUCUGAGUUAAUACAAUGACCAGGUUUUAUGUUUCAGGUUUUAUGUUUCAUAAUUAGAAAAUAUAUCAGUGGAAAGAGUGUUUCUGAUUUAUAAUGAUUUCUACUUUUUUAAUCAUAAUUUUAAAGCUGUUUCUCUCUUUGAUAAUGAAAAGGUAAAUACGUAG